UCUUGGUCAUUUUAGAGGAAGUAAAAGUCGUAACAAGGUUUCCGUAGGUGAACCUGCGGAAGGAUCAUUAUUAUAAUGCGUGGAAAUGCCCCUAACAAGGGCUCUCUAUAAAACUCUAAACUUACUGUCUGAGAAGGCCAUGUGCCGUAAUCUUUAAACAUUUUAAAACUUUCAACAACGGAUCUCUUGGUUCUCGCAUCGAUGAAGAACGCAGCGAAAUGCGAUAAGUAAUGUGAAUUGCAGAAUUCAGUGAAUCAUCGAAUCUUUGAACGCACAUUGCGCCCUUUGGUAUUCCAUAGGGCAUGCCUGUUCGAGCGUCACUAAAAACCUCAUCACAAAGAGUGUGGUAUUGGCAGAAGUGGGUAGGGCUAGCAAGGAAGUGCUGGCCCCACUCUGCUGGAAUGAAUAGGCCGGAAAUGUAGACCAUGGUAACAGACUUUCAGAGUAUCGUCAAAUGCUAAAUUAGUUUGUAUGCUUGGUCAGAAUCUAGGCCAUUGGACCCCCAUUCUGUAUAAAGCAGUAAUGUUGACCUCGGAUCAGGUAGGGAUACCCGCUGAACUUAAGCAUAUCAAUAAAGCGGAGGAA
Molecule: ribosomal RNA, 585 nt
Filed under: Tuber sp. S-11-8-3
Lineage: Eukaryota; Fungi; Ascomycota; Pezizomycetes; Pezizales; Tuberaceae
Description: eukaryotic LSU rRNA
Rfam family: 5.8S ribosomal RNA (bases 167-320)
Source: RNAcentral